AAAUUUUAGGGCAUAUAAAAGUGGCGGUCUGAUAGCUCACUACGGUAAAAAGAAUAUUUGGGAAGCUAGAGAAGAUGGUAUUUACUUCACACAUGGUAAAGAAAUUCCUAAAUUAGAGUAUAAAUGGAGCCCCAUAGGAAAGCCUCCUAGCCCU
This 154-nucleotide small RNA is filed under the name Arabidopsis thaliana (thale cress). Its description in RNAcentral is "ATSL109090". The record is from RNAcentral. Lineage: Eukaryota; Viridiplantae; Streptophyta; Magnoliopsida; Brassicales; Brassicaceae.